Molecule: ribosomal RNA, 227 nt
Filed under: uncultured bacterium
Lineage: Bacteria
Description: partial 16S ribosomal RNA
Rfam family: Bacterial small subunit ribosomal RNA
Source: RNAcentral
UAACACGUAUGCAAUCCACCUGUAAGAGGGGGAGUAACCCGGAGAAAUCCGGACUAAUACCCAUAAUAUGGGCGCUCCGCAUGGAGAGUCCAUUAAAGAGAGCAAUCUUGGUUACAGACGAGCAUGCGCUCCAUUAGCCAGUUGGCGGGGUAACGGCCCACCAAGGCGACGAUCAGUAGCCGGACUGAGAGGUUGAACGGCCACAUUGGGACUGAGACACGGCCCAG